ACGCUCGACACCUACGGGAGCAGCAGUGGGGAAUAUUGCACAAUGGGGGAAACCCUGAUGCAGCGACGCCGCGUGAAGGAAGAAGUAUCUCGGUAUGUAAACUUCUAUCAGCAGGGAAGAAAAUGACGGUACCUGACUAAGAAGCCCCGGCUAACUACGUGCCGGCAGCCGCGGUAAUCUGAGCGGGCUGGCAAGGC
RNAcentral lists this ribosomal RNA (197 nucleotides) under uncultured bacterium. RNAcentral describes it as "partial 16S ribosomal RNA". It matches the Rfam family "Bacterial small subunit ribosomal RNA", at positions 328 to 539 of the family's 1533-position model. The record is from RNAcentral.